GGGUGCAGGCUCUGGCCAGGUGGCACUUACCUCGGGCAGCUCCUGAAAGCAACCAGCACAUCCCUCUGACAGCGUCUCCUAGGUGGGGGGACCGGAGGGUCUCUGCACCGCUGCCCCGCCCACAGGCACAGCCCCCACAGCUCUCAUUGGCUGCAGUUCCUGACCAAUGGGAGCUGCAGAGUCGAUGCUCUGGGGGAGGGCAGUCCAGGAGACCCCCUACCCCCCUCAAGAGCCACAGGGAGCAGCACAGGGACAGGGCAAGCAGAGAGCCUGCCUUAGCCCUGCAGCACUGCCAGACUUUUAGCAGUCUGAAAUCUCCCAAAUUGGCUGCAGCAACCUGCAAGAGAGAGAGCCUGAUCCAGGAGACUCCUGGCAAAACUGGGAGGGGUUGGCAACCGUAGCCCCACUGCACAGGCACACCAGGUGUGGACUGGCAGGAUCCAAUGUGGGAGACUAUCAGUUACAACACUCAAUCUGCCAAAGGAAUACGGUUCCUGUUCAGCAAAGUGUUAAAGAGAUCAUCCCACUGGCAACAAAAGGCCUGAUCCUUCGAGGUGCUUGGUGCCCUAAGUUCCCACUGACUUCAGUGAAAGUUGAGGAUACUCAUACCUGGCAGGAUUGGGCCUAAAGAGAACAAGCUCUCAACCCAGCGACUGGGUCUCACAUUGCAAGCAUGUCUAGACAAUCCAUAACCUAACAAAAUUCAGAAUGCUAAUGAUGGCUGGAGAUCAGUGACAGCAGCAGCACUUUCUGGUCUUGUAUCCUGAAACAAAAGCUUUCAUCACUGCUAAACCAUCUACAGCUGACUCUCUUUUGAUGCCUAUUAGAUUCACUUCCUAUAUUGUCUGGAAAGCACUGCUGUAUUCACUAAUAAUAUAACAAGAAUAAAAUAAAUACAAAAAUACUACAAAAAGCACAAUGACAGGCUGCCAAUAUUUUAACAAACAGCUACAAAAAUGUCCUCCCUUGGCUUGUGAUAAGACCCUUUCAUUACAGUCAAGUUUGCUUCCCGAGGAGAGGGUGGCAGGGCUGGAGAAUCUAUUCAUUUGAUUUCCCUUUAAAACAAUAAUGCUUUCUUAUAAUCAAAAGGAGGCAACACAACAUGACAAACAAGACUUUGUUCAGUGUCCUAGGCUGGAACUUUUUAGAGUUGAGUCCUGAAAAAUCUAUGAGGAGACAGGAGAUCAGAUGUCUGGCUCAGGAAGUCACAAUCCUGAAGAUCUAGAAGGUUCUCUGGAACUCCAGUCCCAAGAGCCUGCAGCAGCUCCUGAAAGAUCCUCAUCUUGCCGCUUAUAACUAUGAAACCUGACUGAAGAGGUCUACACAGAUGUAAGUGUAACCCACACACCUUCUGGGUGUGGAGUUCUGUACCAUUUAGUGGCACCAAGACCACUUAGAGAGAGAGAGUAAAUGAGUCUGUUCUACAGAUUAGCUAAGAGUCAGUGGGCUUUUAGCUCAUGCAGUAGAGGCUCAUGCGCUAAACUCCAAAUAUCCCAGGUUCAGUCCUGCCAGACGAUGACCAGAGUCUGCCAGUCUUACAUACGCAAGGUGUUGGGACAUGAAUUUGCAUGUUAAAUGUGGAGAACCUGGCUCACUUGGGUCUAAGAAAACAACACACUUUGAGUACAAUAAACAAGUUUUACAUCAUUUGAAAUUCA
This is a long non-coding RNA of Gopherus evgoodei (Goodes thornscrub tortoise), 1658 nucleotides long. RefSeq lists it as uncharacterized. The transcript has 4 exons. Lineage: Eukaryota; Metazoa; Chordata; Testudines; Testudinidae. The record is from RefSeq and is a predicted model, not a curated record.